GACGAACGCUGGCGGCGCGCUUAACACAUGCAAGUCGAACGGAAAGGCCCUUCGGGGUCCUCGAGUGGCGAACGGGUGAGUAACACGUGGGUGAUCUGCCCUGCACUUUGGGAUAAGCCUGGGAAGCUGGGUCUAAUACCGAAUAGGACCACGCGCUUCAUGGUGUGUGGUGGAAAGCUUUUGCGGUGUGGGAUGGGCCCGCGGCCUAUCAGCUUGUUGGUGGGGUAAUGGCCUACCAAGGCGACGACGGGUAGCCGGCCUGAGAGGGUGACCGGCCACACUGGGACUGAGAUACGGCCCAGACUCCUACGGGAGGCAGCAGUGGGGAAUAUUGCACAAUGGGCGCAAGCCUGAUGCAGCGACGCCGCGUGAGGGAUGACGGCCUUCGGGUUGUAAACCUCUUUCAAUAGGGACGAAGCGCAAGUGACGGUACCUAUAGAAGAAGCACCGGCCAACUACGUG
RNAcentral lists this ribosomal RNA (462 nucleotides) under uncultured bacterium. RNAcentral describes it as "partial 16S ribosomal RNA". It matches the Rfam family "Bacterial small subunit ribosomal RNA", at positions 28 to 507 of the family's 1533-position model. The record is from RNAcentral.